CGUCGAGGGAGGGACCCGCGGGGGGACCUGCUGGCAGCACCCACAGGGCCACACGGAGCAGCCUGGCAGGACAGCAAAGGUUGUGGAGGAUAAGGAGUUAAAAUAGAAGAGAGGUGGGAGGCAGCAGCACAGCCCAGCUCCCCCCAGAAGGCUGAGGGGCCACGUCAGUUGUUGAGUUCCUGCAUUGAGAGAAGUGGCUGAAAUGCCACCCAAAAGGUGACAGAGGCACAGCCCCGUGAGGCCCUGCCCACCUGGGCACACGGCGAUGCCCUUCCCGGUGUGGAUCCCCUCCCUGCCCAUCCUGCA
Long non-coding RNA from Manacus vitellinus (golden-collared manakin), 306 nucleotides. NCBI's taxonomy places the organism in Eukaryota, Metazoa, Chordata, Aves, Passeriformes, Pipridae. The record is from Ensembl.